Molecule: transfer RNA, 85 nt
Filed under: Candidatus Woesearchaeota archaeon
Lineage: Archaea; Nanobdellati; Candidatus Woesearchaeota
Description: tRNA-Ser
Rfam family: tRNA
About the family: Transfer RNA (tRNA) molecules are approximately 80 nucleotides in length. Their secondary structure includes four short double-helical elements and three loops (D, anti-codon, and T loops). Further hydrogen bonds mediate the characteristic L-shaped molecular structure. tRNAs have two regions of fundamental functional importance: the anti-codon, which is responsible for specific mRNA codon recognition, and the 3' end, to which the tRNAs corresponding amino acid is attached (by aminoacyl-tRNA synthetases). tRNAs cope with the degeneracy of the genetic code in two manners: having more than one tRNA (with a specific anti-codon) for a particular amino acid; and 'wobble' base-pairing, i.e. permitting non-standard base-pairing at the 3rd anti-codon position.
Source: RNAcentral
GCCGGGGUCGCAUAGCCUGGCCAUUGCGGAGGGUUGCUAACCCUCUGUUCGAAAGGACACAUGGGUUCGAAUCCCAUCCCCGGCG